CUACGGGGGGCACCAGUCGAGGAUCUUCGUCAAUGGGCGAAAGCCUGAACGAGCGACGCCGCGUGCGCGAUGAAGGCCUUCGGGUUGUAAAGCGCGAAAGUGGGGAGAAAGGGAAACUUGAUCGAUCCACAGUAAGGACGGGCUAAGUUCGUGCCAGCAGCCGCGGUAAGACGAACUGUCCUAACGUUGUUCGGAAUCACUGGGCUUAAAGGGCGCGUAGGCGGUCCGACAAGUCAGGGGUGAAAUCCUGCAGCUUAACUGCAGAAGUGCCUUUGAUACUGUCGGUCUUGAGGGAGAUAGGGGUGUGCGGAACUCACAGUGGAGCGGUGAAAUGCGUUGAUAUUGUGAGGAACGCCGGAGGCGAAAGCGGCGCACUGGAUCUCUUCUGACGCUGAGGCGCGAAAGCUAGGGGAGCAAACGGGAUUAGAUACCCUAGUAGUC
Molecule: ribosomal RNA, 441 nt
Filed under: uncultured bacterium
Lineage: Bacteria
Description: partial 16S ribosomal RNA
Rfam family: Bacterial small subunit ribosomal RNA
Source: RNAcentral